GCAGGGAAUAUUGCGCAAUGGGCGAAAGCCUGACGCAGCGACGCCGCGUGGGGGAUGAAGGUCUUCGGAUUGUAAACCCCUUUUGUCAGGGAAGAAUAAUGACGGUACCUGAUGAAUAAGUCACGGCUAACUACGUGCCAGCAGCCGCGGUAAUACGUAGGUGGCUAGCGUUAUCCGGAUUUACUGGGCGUAAAGAGGGUGUAGGCGGUUCUUCAAGUCAGAUGUAAAAUCUCUCGGCUUAACCGGGAGGGACCAUUUGAUACUGUUGGACUAGAGGGCGGCAGAGGGAGAUGGAAUUCCCGGUGUAGUGGUGAAAUGCGUAGAUAUCGGGAGGAACACCAGUGGCGAAGGCGGUCUCCCAGGCUGUUUCUGACGCUGAGGCCCGAAAGCGUGGGGAGCAAACAGGAUCAGAUACCCUGGUAGUCC
RNAcentral lists this ribosomal RNA (426 nucleotides) under uncultured bacterium. Its description in RNAcentral is "bacterial SSU rRNA". It matches the Rfam family "Bacterial small subunit ribosomal RNA", at positions 354 to 796 of the family's 1533-position model. The record is from RNAcentral.